RNAcentral lists this ribosomal RNA (423 nucleotides) under uncultured bacterium. RNAcentral describes it as "partial 16S ribosomal RNA". It matches the Rfam family "Bacterial small subunit ribosomal RNA", at positions 359 to 774 of the family's 1533-position model. The record is from RNAcentral.
GAAUUUUGGACAAAGGGCGAAAGCCUGAUCCAGCAAAGCCGCGCGCAGGAUGAAGGACUUCGGGUUGUAAACUUCUUUUGUACGGAACGAAAAGCAUUGGGUUAAUACCCUGGAGUCAUGACGGUACCGUAAGACGUAGAACCGGCUAACUACGUGCCAGCAGCCGCGGUAAUACGUAGGGUGCAAGCGUUCAUCGGAAUUACUGGGCGUAAAGCGUGCGCAGGCGGUUUUGUAAGACAGAGGUGAAAUCCCCGGGCUCAACCUGGGAACUGCCUUUGUGACUGCAAGGCUAGAGUACGGCAGAGGGGGGUGGAAUUCCGCGUGUAGCAGUGAAAUGCGUAGAUAUGCGGAGGAACACCGAUGGCGAAGGCAACCCCCUGGGCCUGUACUGACGCUCAUGCACGAAAGCGUGGGGAGCAAACA